Molecule: long non-coding RNA, 9208 nt
Filed under: Vitis vinifera (wine grape)
Lineage: Eukaryota; Viridiplantae; Streptophyta; Magnoliopsida; Vitales; Vitaceae
Description: long non-coding RNA (VVIN_LNC000956)
Source: RNAcentral
AGAAAUCUCCUUGUAAAGUGGAGGGUGUUUUGAUCAGGUUUGUAUCUCAUCCUUCUUAUGCUUAAUUAUCUUUAAUUAAUUCAUCUUUGGUUUUUGAUUAAAAAAAAAAAUCCUAUCUUCAAUCUUGCUGGAUUUUUUGAUGUGGCAUAAGAUUUUUGCAAAAGAUUUAAAAAUGUGUAAUUUCUUUGUGAAGUAUUAGGGAAUGUUAAUUAGAGAUGGCGGAGUACAGUCAUAAAAAUUUAAAUAUUAAUUGUAAACUAUUGGGAAAAGAUUUUGAAUUCAGGGGCAAAACUGUACAUGAAACGUUUUUUGAUAGGCAAAGAUCACUUAUACUAAUAGCGCCUGACAAAAAUGUUUGUGUUAGAAGUGUCAACAAUUUGUGGGUGUAGUAUUUUAAUAGAAAUUCAACAUGCUAGAAUAAGAAAAAGGGAAGAGAGCUUUUCUGGUUUACAGAAAAGGAGCUAGGUGUCCAUUGAUACCUCUUUUUUCAUUAGGAUGUUUUUGCUUGGUUAGUGAGGAGGCUAGUGGAAGGUUCAUCAAGGGAUUUAUGAAGAGUUGUGUUUGUAAUUGCUUCCUUAUUUGGGUAUUAGUCUGGUGGAAUGGUCAUCAAGGGUUUUAUGAAGAGUUGUGUUCGUAAUCUCAUCUUUAUUUGGGUACUAGCUUGCAUCCAGAAAUAUAUGAAUCACCUCACUUGAGGAUUAAACCAAGCAGACUGAGUGCAAGAUCUCUACUGGGCUUGGUUUUUAUUGUUAAAAGGUGAUGUGUAGGCAGAGGGAGCAGUUGGUGUCUGUAAGAAGUGUUUCCCUGAAGAUACAGAAAGAAAUGUGACAUGAGCUCGGGGGUCACUAUUCUAUUCAUACAGCCAACCAUUGAACCCAGUUAGCUGUGGGCCUAGACAGGGGAUCUCUAACAAUCUUCUAUUGAUGACCAGCUUUUGUAUAACCUUAAAUUUUUCUUGAAGUUAGCAUGUACCCCUCUCCUGGAAUACUGACCUCAGGGCUUUUUUUUUUUUAAUGGAAAUAGUGAUUCUAUUUCAUGCUUUUCAGUAUAUUUUAAAGCUUAUAAAUAGAUGAUUUAUGGUAAUGUGAUUUACGUAUGUUUGGUUGUCAUUCACCAUUGUAUUUUUGUUAUUAUGGUAUAAAGCUGGUAUGCAAAUUGCCAGGUAGGCCUUGCAUACAGCCUUUUUAGUAUUCUUUUACUGAUCGACCGUUCUUUCCUUUUGUUAGGGAUUGGAUCAACUUCGCUCUGGGCUACUUCAGCAGCCAAAACCUUUCAUCCAAGCUGCUCCUCAGCCCUUUCAUCAGCUCCAGAUGCUACCACAACACCAGCAACAGCUUUUGCUUGCACAACAAAGUUUGACAUCCCCUCCCAGUGAUGAAAGCAGAAGGCUGAGAAUGCUUCUGAAUAAUCGGAAUAUGAAUCUUGGGAAGGACGGUCCUUCAAAUUCCAUUGGUGAUGUUCCAAAUGUUGGCUCACCCCUGCAACCCGGUUGCGCUGUUUUGCCUCGUGGAGAUACUGAGAUGCUAAUGAAGGUGAUCAUCCUCUCUGUCAAUAAUCCUGCUAUCAUCUUAUGGUUUUUGGCUUAUUUGCCUUUUCUCUUAUUUCCUCCUCAUUCCUCUUUCUGUCACUGUUGUCUUGCCAACUAGCUGCACAUUUCAUGACCUUUUUGACUGAAGAAAGUAUCCAUUAUUUGUAGUUAAAAAUGGCCCAAAUGCAUCAUCAGCAGCAACAACAACAGCAGCAGCAACAAAACAGUAAUCAACCACAGCAGCAGCAGCAACAGCAGCUUCAGCAGCAUGCGCUCUCAAGUCAGCAAUCUCAGAGUUCAAAUCACAACAUGCAUCAGCAAGAUAAAAUGGGGGGAGCUGGCAGCAUCACUGUGGAUGGUAGCAUGUCAAAUUCUUUUCGAGGAAAUGAUCAGGUCUGUUCCACGUGGGAGCCUUCUUUGUUCAAUUUCUUUUAAAAAUGACAAUAAUCAGGAAUACAGUAAAUAGCAACAUUUCCUUAAAUGGUAUCACUACCUUUAAAAAUUUUAUGUUUGCUAAAUACAUUUCCGGACUCCAAUUUUUACACUCCAGUGAAUCUCUCUCUCAUUUCCCCUCUCAUUAAUUAGCCAAUUAAUUAACAAUUUGGGAUGUCCUUAUUCCAUAAAUGAGUUUGUUGCGGCUACUAAUUUCUCAUUCCUCUUGGUGUAAUUUACAUUACUUCAAACAGUGACAGUUUUGUGAAUGAUGCAAAGAUUUAGUGGAAGUAGCAGUUCCCUGUAUUUAAUAAUUUUACUCCAAACCAAUCCCAUCUGCCUUUUUAUCACCAGGUUCACUUGCAUUGCCUGUAGUUUACAUGGCAGUUUUGCCCUUCCACUUGAGCACUGAUCAAUUUCUACACUGGAUUGAAAGCAUAAUUUUAACAGCUUAGGUGAUGAAAAGAAUAUAUCAAGGAGAGAAGUGCCGACAUUAAACCUUUUUCUCUCUUUCCCUUCUUAGUUAGGGAGUGGGGUGGGGUAGAAUGAGGGAGGUGGUGUUUCUCAAGUGGUAUUUCAAUCAUGUCAGAGCUGGUCUGGAACAUAACCUUUGUAGGAUUACAUAUUGUUUUCUGAUAGGCUUCUUAGGAUUACAGUUUUGAGUGGGUCCUAAUAUAAUUUUCGUUAAUGCAUUUUAAGGCUUCAAAAAACCAGACUGGAAGAAAGAGAAAGCAGCCUGUUUCAUCUUCUGGUCCAGCCAAUAGCUCAGGAACUGCAAACACAGCAGGACCCUCCCCAAGCUCAGCACCCUCUACACCGUCAACUCACACACCUGGAGAUGUGAUCUCAAUGCCUGCUUUGCCACACAGUGGUAGCUCUUCAAAGCCAUUGAUGAUGUUCAGCACUGAUGGUACUGGAACUCUUACAUCACCGUCAAAUCAGUUGGUGAGCAAAGUCUUUUCCUUCUUGUACUUACAGAAGGGAUUUUUUAUUUACUCGCAUGAAUUCUCAUUGGUAUUCCAUUUUGGCAGUGGGAUGAUAAAGAUCUUGAAUUGCAGGCUGAUAUGGAUCGUUUUGUGGAAGAUGGUUCCCUUGACGAUAAUGUUGAGUCUUUUUUAUCCCAUGAUGAUACAGACCCUAGAGAUACAGUUGGUCGUUGUAUGGAUGUCAGUAAAGGUGAGGUGAUGACUACUUUUUUAUCUGGCCUGCAUUGUGACCAUUUUCCUGAACUUUUUAAAUUUCUUGUGUUGUGUAUGUACUCUGAUUUGGUUGCAUAACAUGGUAUGAGUUUGCAAGUUUAUGUAUUCCAAUUUGGUUGCAUAAGUUGUUAUAGUUUGCAAAUUAUUCACUGAAUUCCUAAUAUCAUAGGUAAUGGCUGUAAUGCUCAAUUAUUUAUAAACCUGCUACUUUAUUUCAGAUUUGUAUUUGUCUUAUAUGCACUCAUUUAUGGCCAGUUAUUCGUCAAUAAUAAUAAGAAUUCAAAUUCCUUUUGAGAAAAUAACAAUAGAUUUUAAAGCAAGCAUGGAAAAGGGUGUGAGUGACUGAGGCCUUAUAAGAAACCUGGGUGUUUUUCCAAAUGUGACUGAAAAAAGAGCUUCUAGCUCCCUCAGUCAUUCCCUCUUCAUUUCUGUACAUAUCAGCAGAACUGUCAAGCUAGUCUCUUCAUUGCUAAGGAGUUUCUUGUAACUAAAAUUUUCACCCUAUAACAACCUCUAUAUGUAAAAAGAAAACAUUGGCGUUCUUAAUUGCUGCUUAUACAUUUCGAUGUUUCUACUACUAUUCAGCUCCCACGAAAAGUAGGCUUCCAAAAUUGGCUAACUAAAAUUUUUAUUGAUUCUCUUCUCCUGAUUGUUGGAUAAUGUCUCAGGAGGCAUUUGAAUAUCAACAUACCUCUUCUCUUUCCUAUUCACCUUGGUUGUGAAUAUUUGAAGCUGAAUCAUUAUAGAGGCUUGAAGCAUGAAUUGAAGCUCUUUCUGUUCUGAGGAAGAAUAUUUUGGUCUCAUAUCCAUUUUGUGAUGAUGGCAUUCUCGUUUCUAAUAUUUGUCCCUAUAAACUGAAAAAACUUAAAAUAGAUUUUUUUUUUAAUUUUAUCUGGGGGUUGAAAACUAAAGCAUCAUUGUUGGUAUUAGACUAAAUAGAUCAAAGCUUGAGAUCUUGGCUUCUACUUUGUAUUGUGCUUUCCGUGGUUAGCCCACAUUUUCACCUUUCCUUUAGGUGUGCUUGAGGUGAUGAUUUGUGCAACUUGGUAGUGGACAGUCAAUGGUGGCUACCUUUUGUGGAUAUUGGUAAUAUUUUUAACUGUUGCUUUGAUUGGAAGAUUUCUUUCGAGAUUUUCAUAUCUGAAAUAUGCAAAAAUGCAGCUGAAUUGUAUGAUCAUCUUUUUCUCCAUUGUAAUAUUCCCUAAUCUUAUCUUUAAUGUCUCGACCUAGUGAGUAUAACUUGGACCCAUUCAAUGUCCCCUUCACUAGAUCAUCUUCUCCUGGCUAUCAUGGUGCUUCUUUGUGAAAGGGGGGCAGUGAAUGUGGUCAUUUGUUAUGUGCUUAGAAGUGGGAAAGGUUGGAUUUUGACAAUUAGUUGGACUUGAUAGGCUUCAUUAUAAAUAAGAUUUCCAUGAUUUGGGCCCCUAUCUCUAAUAUGGGACCAUAUCAGUUUUGUUCUUAGAGAUUGGAACUGUUUUUAGCUUUGCUCAUUGAGUCAUUCUAACUCCUUUUAUCCUUUGAGUUCUUUAAUUUAUGGUUUUGAUAGGUUUUCUUUAUCAAGGGUUUUCAAAAUAAUCUUAUUGUUAAUAGUUAAAGAGCCCAUUGUUCUUUUAUAGGCAAAUGAGAAUUAGUAUUAAUAGCACCUAAGAGGAGAUGUACCAAAUUACACACGAUGUAUAAGAUAGACGCCUAAUUUAAGCGAGAAUAGGUCAACAAAAAGGCACCCUUUCCUUACUUGAAGCUUAGCUAAUCUAUAAGAUCUAUCAUUGACAUUGAUUGGUUCUCUAUGUACGCACUAACUCAAUUCACAAAAGUAUACAUGAAAUCAGAUUUGAUUGCUUGGUCAAAUUACUUAACAUCAUUAAAUAACCUUCUAUUCCAUAACUUGCCAAGAGACUAAAACAAUUACAAUGGAGCAGCUCUCCUAGUUUUUUUUUUUUUUCUGCUUCUUGCCUGCAAAAGACUUGUGCCACCCCAAAAGGUUCUCUUUCACAUAAGAGUGCAUUACCCAAACCUCUCCAAAGAGAGAAUAUCAAUUGCCCCAACAUUCUAGCUUUGGAACAGUGAAGUAGCAGAUGGUCCAUUGUUUCCUCUUCACCUUUGUACAAAAAACACCUAUUUGACAAAUUCCAUCCCCUCCUUUGGGCUGAUCAAGUGUUAGAAUUCUGCCCUAAGUUGCUUCCCAAGUAAAGAAACCUACCUUCAUAGGUGCCCAUGUACUCCACACUACAACCUUUGGGAAAGGCUUUCAAUAUCCCAUUGUUAAACAUGCAUAUAGAGAUCUAACCGAGAAAUUGCGAUGCUUGGUUUCAUUCCUACUCAAUUUGUCUUCCUCUUCCCUUCUAAUUGGCAAGGAAUGGAGUUUCCGUCAUAAGAAAUUCUCAACUUCCACAAGUUCCCAAUCAUUGAAUUUCCCAGAAAAAUUGGGUUUCCAACCACCCCUUCCCCACCUUGCUCCCUCACAUCCGCUACCCAAUCAUUUUUGUCCAAAGCUAUAGAGAAUAAAGUCAGGAAGGCUCAUUCCAAGGGUAAAUUAUCACACCAAAUAUCAUUUCAAAAUUUUACCCUUUUCCCAUUCCCAACUUUGGAAUGAUACCUGCUUUUAAUAACCUCCCACCCUUUUCUAAUAGCUUUCCUAUUGUGAUUUGCAUCUAUAAGGACUUUCUUUUUAUUGCAAAUCUCCAACUCCACUUACCAAGCAAAUCCUUAUUUAAAAUGGAUUAAAGAGCUCACCUGUAUUUGAUUUAAAAUUGUUUAGUUUGAUGAUAUCUCUUUGUGUGCCCUUCCCAUGUGGGACAAAUGGACAAUUUCUAAAGCACUUUAAGCAUUAUCUUCUCUGAAAAGAACAUCCAUCUUGGUUUUCUGAAAACAAGAAAACACAAUUGUUAUGGAAGUCUCCAAUUUUCUUUGGCUAACCCAGGUCACCUUGGCAAUAUUGGUUCCCUUCAGAAUUUUACUAUGCUAAUAAAGAAGAAUCAUGAGCAUUUUUCUUGUGUCAAUGGGAAGCUUUCAAGCUUAUAGUUUGUAUUUUUUAUUGUGGAAGGUGACAUUUCCAACAUCAUCUAGUGGAGUAAAGAUUGUACUGUAAAAGCUUGUAGACUCUCUGUCCUUUUGAAUAAGCUGUAGGUAUUCCUAACUUCUUGGAUGUUUCUUAUCCAUGGGUUUCUGAGUCUGCUUAUUGUGAACUUAAUUUUAAUACUGAUAGUGGAGCUGUGACUUUUUAAUUUGUGGGAGCUUGAUGUUACCCUAGUUUAUUGUUCUAAUAGUUUUCAUUCUUUUAUUCUAUUUUUUCUGCUUUUUAUUGGCCUUAUCUCUUUGAGGAUUUUUUUUCCUUCUUUAAUCUUCUUCUCUUAGACCUUGUCUUUGUAUUUUUAUCUUCCUGUUAAUAAGUUUAGUUGCCCAAUUCAACAAUUGGCUGCUAUGUUUAUAGGCAUUUUAACUUUGUUUGAUAUGCCCCACUUUUUACUCUCAGAAUCUGGGAUAGAUAAUCUCUGCAAGAUAUUAAGCACUUUAGUUCACUUUCUAAAAAAAUGGUUGAUUUUGGUAUUUUAAAUUCAUUAACUUUCAGUAGCUGCUUAUAUGUUGUGAGAUUGCUCUAAAAAUCUUACCCCUUCUAAAUAGUCCUCAGCAUCUAGUUGUACAUAAAAUAUUUCUUUAAAGUUCAAAUUGCAUAAUUUGUUUCCAUUAAUAUUUAUCCACUGUAAUAAAUUAUUAUUAUUAUGUCAUUAUUUACCUACUAGAGAUGCACUUUUUUAUUUUUUAAAUAAAAUAAAAAAUGAAAUAUUCCAUCUAUAUUUGUUUUGGUUUUUUUCUUGCAAUACCAGUUCCCCGCCAUGACAGGCACAACCGUAAAGUAAGAUACUUUUAGGAAACAAUUAUGAAUUAGUAAUGGAUGAAAUUUCACAUUUGUGCUUGUAGAUAGUGCAAUUCUCUCUCUUAUAAAAUUUGAAAUAUGGUGUUUGCAUUUUAUUUCAGGGUUUACAUUUACGGAAGUCAGCUCCGUUAGAGCGAGUGCAAGUAAAGUUAUCUGUUGCCACUUCUCAUCAGAUGGAAAACUGCUUGCUAGUGGUGGCCAUGAUAAAAAGGUAAGUGCCAAGAGGAUUAAAGUAUCCUAUAUUAUUAAAAGUGAAUGUUGAAGAGCACUAAACAUGUGAUGAAGGGGGAGCUCAAAUGCUUCAUCGUGUUGCAUAGUUAGGAUCAUAGAAGAAUAACUGAACUAGUUUUCUUAAUGGUCUUAAAUGCAGGCAGUAUUGUGGUAUACAGACACUUUAAAGACAAAAACUACACUUGAAGAACAUUCAAUGUUAAUCACUGAUGUCCGUUUCAGUCCGAGCAUGCCGCGUCUUGCAACAUCUUCAUUUGACAAAACCGUCAGGGUUUGGGAUGCUGACAGUGUCAGUGGACUAGUUCUUCUUUUUGUAGUUCUGUGUGUUUUCUUUGGUUUUCUAAUGUUAGUGUUUUUGUAAGAAUAUUUUGCUUCUGAAUGUUCUGUCUGGAGCAUUGGUUUAUUGGAGUUGACCUGGUUACAUCUAGGAUUAUAUUGACCUAUCAAGUUUGUCAACUUGGUGGUGUUUGAUUACUCAUUUAUUGUACUGUUUUUGUGAGAGAAUGCAUUUUACAUAUUUAUAUUAGAAAGUUGGUUGCUUGAAGAUAACAAAAUUGAAACUGUGCAUGUUUUUGGCUGUUUGUUUGUAAUCCAUGACUUCUAAACUGUGAUUGUUUUCCUGUUGGUGGUGGAGUUCCCUAGUUUAGUUUGUCAACAAUGAAUAGAAAAAAGAGAGAAGGGCUGUUAGGAGAGAGGAGUUUUCUUUGUGCCCACAAAAAAUGAUCGCCUUAAAAGAUUGAGGUGAUUUGGUGAGAAGAAAGAGAGAUUAAGCACCACUUUCCUACACUGGAUUUAUUUUUAUUUUUUUACAAAGGAGCCUAGUGUGGUUCAUUAUUCUAUUUCUUUUUUCCUUCUCUGUCCAUUUUCUGUUUAUGUGAAGUGCUUGAAUUUUCUCCUUUUCUCUCAUCUUUAAGUGGUGGGAAAAAAAAAGAUUACUAGUUUUUGAUAGGAACAUGUUUUUCUUUUACAUCUUUUUUGUGUUUUGGGGUUGAGAUUGUUUGAAGAAUAAUGCAUCCUUCAGUUUGUACUGUUACAUUUAUUCCUGUCAAAUCAAUUGUUUGUUUCAAUCACAAAAGGAAAAAAAUGGUAAAAUUUAGUAUAUUGCACCAUACAAUUGCCAUAUAAAUGAAGAUGGGGGCAUUUUCCUCUGUUGUUGCCUUGUAGCUCAAAUAGUGUUUUCUUGCUUUCCAAUAUAUGUUGGGAUGUUUGCAAUGCUGUGGGGUGGUGUUCUGCAUCAUGCAGCAAUGCAAAUGAUCAAGAUGAUACUUGCCAGAUUAGCGCUUUCAUUUUUUGAUGCAUUUACAGAUGAACAAUGAAUACCUAGCGUAUAUUUUGGUCGGUAAUAGUUAGUGAAUCAGGCUGAUGCUGUGAUAUAUCACCUUUAGAAAAGAUACGGGAAAUAUUUACAAUAAGAUUUCUAACAUGUAUUAUUUCCCCUACUUUUAAAACUUAUGAUAGCUUAGCCAAGGGAUUGGCCGUGAUGGACGUGUAAUGCUAUUACAAAAAGUGAUUAUUUCCCACUCCUUUACCAAGUUCUAGGGAUAAUUAUUGACGCAUGCUAAUUGUACACAUCUAGCAUCCUUGGGUGGUGCACCCUCUAUCAUACAUUUGCCCAGAAAAAAAAAAGAAAAAAGAAAGAAAAAUCACCUUCGCUGCUUUCAUGAACUGGCAUUUCUUCAUUAAUGAAAUAUAUUGGGGACUUUACAUUGUCCUCUUAGUUGUGCAGCUUGUGCCACAACAUCAACUUGAUUGCGAAACCUCCCAAUUCUAUCAGUUAUCAAUUUAAUGUUUUUAAUGAUAAAAUAAAUAGAUUAUAUAUAUAUGUAUGGUAAUAGGCACAUGUUAAGGGUACCAUACCUGUGUGCUUGUAUGUAUGGGUGCACAGGUAUGUGGACAUAUGAGUGUGUGUACUGUUUCACUAAGAAAUAGAUCUGCAUAUAAUUU